AGACCCGAAACCCGGUGAUCUAGCCAUGGGCAGGUUGAAGGUUGGGUAACACUAACUGGAGGACCGAACCGACUAAUGUUGAAAAAUUAGCGGAUGACCUGUGGCUGGGGGUGAAAGGCCAAUCAAACCGGGAGAUAGCUGGUUCUCCCCGAAAGCUAUUUAGGUAGCGCCUCGUGAAUUCAUCUCCGGGGGUAGAGCACUGUUUCGGCUAGGGGGCCAUCCCGGCUUACCAACCCGAUGCAAACUGCGAAUACCGGAGAAUGUUAUCACGGGAGACACACGGCGGGUGCUAACGUCCGUCGUGAAGAGGGAAACAACCCAGACCGCCAGCUAAGGUCCCAAAGUCAUGGUUAAGUGGGAAACGAUGUGGGAAGGCCCAGACAGCCAGGAUGUUGGCUUAGAAGCAGCCAUCAUUUAAAGAAAGCGUAAUAGCUCACUGGUCGAGUCGGCCUGCGCGGAAGAUGUAACGGGGCUAAACCAUGCACCGAAGCUGCGGCAGCGACGCUGAUGCGUUGUUGGGUAGGGGAGCGUUCUGUAAGCCUGCGAAGGUGGCCUGUGAGGGUUGCUGGAGGUAUCAGAAGUGCGA
Molecule: ribosomal RNA, 586 nt
Filed under: Salmonella enterica
Lineage: Bacteria; Pseudomonadati; Pseudomonadota; Gammaproteobacteria; Enterobacterales; Enterobacteriaceae
Description: partial 23S ribosomal RNA
Rfam family: Bacterial large subunit ribosomal RNA
Source: RNAcentral